GUCGAGGUAAUUUAAUGGUUAGAAUAUUUGUCUCAUACACGAAAUGUGGUAGUUCGAUUCUACCCCUCGAUA
Non-coding RNA from Piptocephalis cylindrospora, 72 nucleotides. The record is from the annotation of a GenBank genome assembly. Lineage: Eukaryota; Fungi; Zoopagomycota; Zoopagomycetes; Zoopagales; Piptocephalidaceae.